Molecule: RNA transcript, 1303 nt
Organism: Episyrphus balteatus (marmalade hoverfly)
Lineage: Eukaryota; Metazoa; Arthropoda; Insecta; Diptera; Syrphidae
Gene: Blos4
Gene name: biogenesis of lysosome-related organelles complex 1 subunit 4
Exons: 5
Source: RefSeq, a predicted model, not a curated record
UUUGUUGUGUUUUAUCUUGUUUUGAUAACUGUAAAUAAAAAUAUAACUAAAAAUAAUUAGAUUAUAAAUAAUGGUGGAAAAACUAGCCCAAGAUUAUUCAAAAUACUUUCAUAAUUGUAAUGUUGAAAAAGAGAUCAAUCCACUUUGCUUGAGCAUUGAGGAAACCCUGACUAGACUUGAUGAAUUCGAAACUCUCCUCACAAAUGUUAAAAUAGAAACAAAUUCAACCAUGGAGAACCAUGUGGUCCCACUUCUUGCCUUCCAACAAAACUUUCAAACCCUUUGCGAACGAAUUGAUAAUCUCGAAAAAUUUGUCGAUGUUGUAAAUGAGAAUGUUAAUUCAGUUGAAAGAUCAAUUGAUAUAGCUGAAGAGGAGCUCGGUGUCACAGAUUAUAGUUUAAAAGGUCUUCUGUUUAAGCCAUUAUUUUCAAGAUCCAAAAACAUUGAUGGCGAGAGUAGAACUAAUUUGAAAGACGAUGAAUUUCAAAAAGUUGAAAUUUUCAAAACGUCUCAAUACUUUCCAACGAGCGAAGAGCCAACGUCUGACUAACAUCAACAAAUAAAUAAAAUCAAGUAAAUCGGUACCAGCGGUCUUUCCACAAAAGAAAAACAAGGUUUAUGCUCUCAAUUCUUUAGUAUCAUAUCUGUCAACCGGGAUGGAUGGAUCUUGGAUCAUUAAAAGUCUAAUGCUCAAAUAAAUCUUCACUUUUUCUAAGGACAACUUGGAACUACUGUCGAUCCAUAAGUUUGGGGCCUAUUAGUUUGAAGUUAGAAGUUUUCCAAUUGAUCACUGUAAUUUAAUAUGGAACCAAGGUACGAUGAGGUAUGAACUGACCACAGAUUGCAUAAAAGUAAAACAAGCAAUUUACUUUUCAGAAUGUUUGACCAGAUAAUCGAUAUCAAUACAGGAUCAGAUUUAGAUCGAAGGAAAGUCAUGAAGUUCAAAAGCUGGUUGAGAACUGAACUAGGAAAAAGUUACCAUUGCGAGUGUGGUGUGAUUCAACUGCACAUCAUACAGCAUGGGGUAGUAAAAUUCAUGGCCCAGUUCGGGUCAAUACAAUACACUAGAUGGAACUAAAGCGGCUGUUUAAUGAUGUGUCACUGGUCGAAUUAAAGGAACGAAUUUGAAAACAACGGUCUGUAAAUCGAGCUAUCUGGAAAAUAAAUUUGGUUAUAGCAAUGACGCAAAAGAUUUCUGCACAGAAAAACACAACAAAACUGAUGAAAUGCCACAAAAUCGAGGCGAAUUAUAAAAUUGUAUAUAAAAAAGCAAAAAAAAAAAAAAACAAAACAUCCACAACAA